RNAcentral lists this ribosomal RNA (200 nucleotides) under uncultured bacterium. RNAcentral describes it as "partial 16S ribosomal RNA". It matches the Rfam family "Bacterial small subunit ribosomal RNA", at positions 8 to 207 of the family's 1533-position model. The record is from RNAcentral.
AGAGUUUGAUCCUGGCUCAGAACGAACGCUGGCGGCGUGCCUAACACAUGCAAGUCGAGGGAGAAAGCCCGCAAGGGUUAGUAAACCGGCGAACGGGUGCGUAACACGUGGAUAAUCUACCUUCCUGACUGGGACAACUGGCCGAAAGGCUUGCUAAUACCAGAUAAGACCACGGCGUCUUCGGACACUGAGGGAAAAGG